Molecule: ribosomal RNA, 253 nt
Filed under: uncultured bacterium
Lineage: Bacteria
Description: partial 16S ribosomal RNA
Rfam family: Bacterial small subunit ribosomal RNA
Source: RNAcentral
UACGGGGGGAGCAAGCGUUGUUCGGAUUUACUGGGCGUAAAGGGCGCGUAGGCGGCCUGUCAAGUCAAUUGUGAAAUCUCCGGGCUUAACUCGGAACGGUCAAUUGAUACUGUCAGGCUAGAGUGCAGAAGGGGCAAUCGGAAUUCUUGGUGUAGCGGUGAAAUGCGUAGAUAUCAAGAGGAACACCUGAGGUGAAGACGGGUUGCUGGGCUGACACUGACGCUGAGGCGCGAAAGCCAGGGGAGCAAACGGG